UACGUAGGGUCCGAGCGUUGUCCGGAAUUAUUUGGCGUAAAGAGCUCGUAGGCGGUUUGUCGCGUCUGCUGUGAAAUCCCGAGGCUCAACCUCGGGUCUGCAGUGGGUACGGGCAGACUGGAGUGCGGUAGGGGAGAAUGGAAUUCCUGGUGUAGCGGUGGAAUGCGCAGAUAUCUGGAGGAACACCGGUGGCGAAGGCGACAUCCUGGACCGGUAUUGACGCUGAGGCGCGAAAGCCAGGGGAGCAAACGGG
This 253-nucleotide ribosomal RNA is filed under the name uncultured bacterium. RNAcentral's name for it is "partial 16S ribosomal RNA". It matches the Rfam family "Bacterial small subunit ribosomal RNA", at positions 524 to 776 of the family's 1533-position model. The record is from RNAcentral.